RNAcentral lists this ribosomal RNA (486 nucleotides) under uncultured bacterium. RNAcentral describes it as "bacterial SSU rRNA". It matches the Rfam family "Bacterial small subunit ribosomal RNA", at positions 28 to 503 of the family's 1533-position model. The record is from RNAcentral.
GACGAACGCUGGCGGCGUGCUUAACACAUGCAAGUCGAGCGAUGAAACUACUUCGGUAGUGAAUUAGCGGCGAACGGGUGAGGAACACGUGAGGAAUCUGCCUUCUACACUGGGAUAACUCCGAGAAAUCGGAGCUAAUACCGAAUAGUUCUUCAGACCGCAUGGUCUGAUGAUGAAAGGCGCUUCGGCGUCACCUUGGGAUGGCCUUGCGGUGCAUUAGCUAGUUGGUGGGGUAAUGGCCCACCAAGGCGACGAUGCAUAGCCGACCUGAGAGGGUGAUCGGCCACACUGGGACUGAGACACGGCCCAGACUCCUACGGGAGGCAGCAGUAGGGAAUCUUCCACAAUGGACGAAAGUCUGAUGGAGCAACGCCGCGUGAGUGAUGAAGGUUUUCGGAUCGUAAAACUCUGUUGUAAGGGAAGAACAGGUAUGAGAGGUAAUGCUCAUGCUAUGACGGUACCUUACGAGAAAGCCACGGCUAACCG